Molecule: non-coding RNA, 73 nt
Organism: Paramuricea clavata
Lineage: Eukaryota; Metazoa; Cnidaria; Anthozoa; Malacalcyonacea; Plexauridae
Source: the annotation of a GenBank genome assembly
GGCCGCGUGGCUCAGUUGGCAGAGCAUUGGGCUAGUAUUCCAAAGGUCGUAGGUUCGAUUCCCACCGUGGCCG